This 425-nucleotide ribosomal RNA is filed under the name uncultured bacterium. RNAcentral's name for it is "partial 16S ribosomal RNA". It matches the Rfam family "Bacterial small subunit ribosomal RNA", at positions 354 to 796 of the family's 1533-position model. The record is from RNAcentral.
GUGGGGAAUAUUGGGCAAUGGGCGAAAGCCUGACCCAGCAACGCCGCGUGAAGGAAGAAGGUCUUCGGAUCGUAAACUUCUAUCCUUGGUGAAGAUAAUGACGGUAGCCGAGAAGGAAGCCCCGGCUAACUACGUGCCAGCAGCCGCGGUAAUACGUAGGGGGCAAGCGUUGUCCGGAAUGAUUGGGCGUAAAGGGCGCGUAGGCGGCCUGGUAAGUCUGGAGUGAAAGUCCUGCUUUUAAGGUGGGAAUUGCUUUGGAUACUGUCGGGCUUGAGUGCAGGAGAGGUAGGUGGAAUUCCCGGUGUAGCGGUGAAAUGCGUAGAGAUCGGGAGGAACACCAGUGGCGAAGGCGACUUACUAAGCUACAACUGACACUGAAGCACGAAAGCGUGGGGAUCAAACAGGAUUAGAAACCCUGGUAGUCC